AGAUUGAUAAGUUAAAGAAACUGUGGGGUUCAUGUCUCCUUAAUACAUAUUUUUAUGUUCAAUCGA
This 66-nucleotide transfer RNA is filed under the name Hydatigera taeniaeformis. RNAcentral describes it as "tRNA-Met". RNAcentral also lists the same sequence under 1 other name. The record is from RNAcentral. Lineage: Eukaryota; Metazoa; Platyhelminthes; Cestoda; Cyclophyllidea; Taeniidae.